CCUACGGGAGGCAGCAGUGGGGAAUAUUGGACAAUGGGCGAAAGCCUGAUCCAGCCAUGCCGCGUGUGUGAAGAAGGCCUUUUGGUUGUAAAGCACUUUAAGCGAGGAGGAGGCUACCGAGAUUAAUACUCUAGGAUAGUGGACGUUACUCGCAGAAUAAGCACCGGCUAACUCUGUGCCAGCAGCCGCGGUAAU
Molecule: ribosomal RNA, 195 nt
Filed under: uncultured bacterium
Lineage: Bacteria
Description: partial 16S ribosomal RNA
Rfam family: Bacterial small subunit ribosomal RNA
Source: RNAcentral